RNAcentral lists this ribosomal RNA (459 nucleotides) under uncultured bacterium. RNAcentral describes it as "partial 16S ribosomal RNA". It matches the Rfam family "Bacterial small subunit ribosomal RNA", at positions 338 to 795 of the family's 1533-position model. The record is from RNAcentral.
CCUACGGGAGGCUGCAGUGAGGAAUAUUGGUCAAUGGGUGGAAGCCUGAACCAGCCAAGUAGCGUGCGGGAUGAAGGCCCUACGGGUCGUAAACCGCUUUUGCACGGGGAUAACACCCUCCACUUGUGGAGGUCUGCAGGUACCGUGCGAAUAAGGGCCGGCUAAUUCCGGGCCAGCAGCCGCGGUAAUACGGAAGGCCCGAGCGUUAUCCGGAUUUAUUGGGUUUAAAGGGUGCGUAGGCGGAAUUUCAAGUCAGCGGUAAAAAUUCGGGGCUCAACCCCGUCGUGCCGUUGAAACUGAUGGUCUUGAGUGGGCGAGAAGUAUGCGGAAUGCGUGGUGUAGCGGUGAAAUGCAUAGAUAUCACGCAGAACUCCGAUUGCGAAGGCAGCAUACCGGCGCCCAACUGACGCUGAAGCACGAAAGCGUGGGUAUCGAACAGGAUUAGAUACCCUUGUAGUC